AGCGCGGGCUGGAGGUGUGGCUGGGGUCCGUGGGGAAGAGAGACGAUGGGGACCCAGGAGCAGAGGCGGCGUGCUCACUGAGGCCCGGGGUGGAGGCCGGGGUCCUUGAACGCCCACCGAUCCGUGAACUCCGGGUGGCCCGCCCCCCUGAGGAUUUGCGGCGCGGGACGUGUGGAGGUCCCGGAGGACCGCACGCAGCCCCCUGCUGGAGCGAGCUGCUGGUGUCCCCUGGCACACACAACCCAGGGAAAGGACCACAAUCAACCUUCCCAACUGCAGAGGGGUGUCCCCUGCGCCCUUGGGCACCCACAGGGCCGGUGCUGGACCCUGAGCAGCACCCCUACCCCCGCCCCUAACUUCAGCCGGGUGCCGCCUGUCCCCAGGAUAGACCAUGCAGAAAUACACCUGUAGACGGGGUGGGGACUCAGACCUGGGGAGCGAAACAUUGGAUCCAGGCCUCCCACCAGCUGAAGCCGAGAUGAAGACAUGCCUCUUUGCAGCCAAAUGCACAUUUUCGUACCACAGGAUGGUGCUUCUCAGGAAUACGAUUUACUUGGCCUCUUA
Molecule: long non-coding RNA, 564 nt
Organism: Suricata suricatta (meerkat)
Lineage: Eukaryota; Metazoa; Chordata; Mammalia; Carnivora; Herpestidae
Exons: 2
Source: RefSeq, a predicted model, not a curated record